GUGGAGCAAAACUCAAAAAAAUAAGUCUCAGUUCGGAUUGAAGGCUGAAAUUCGCCUUCAUGAAGCCGGAAUUGCUAGUAAUGGCAGGUCAGCAUACUGCCGUGAAUACGUUCCCGGGCCUUGUACACACCGCCCGUCACACCAUGAGAGUUGGGAAUACCCGAAGCCUGUGAGCUAACUUUUAGAGGCAGCAGUCGAAGGUAGAAUCAAUGAUUGGGGUGAAGUCGUAACAAGGUAAC
This 239-nucleotide ribosomal RNA is filed under the name uncultured bacterium. Its description in RNAcentral is "partial 16S ribosomal RNA". It matches the Rfam family "Bacterial small subunit ribosomal RNA", at positions 1262 to 1500 of the family's 1533-position model. The record is from RNAcentral.